GCCUGGGUGGCUCAGUCGGUUGAGCGUCUGAUUUCAGCUCAGGUCACGAGCUCACCCUACGUGGGUUUGAGCCCCGCUCAGGGCU
This 85-nucleotide transfer RNA is filed under the name Felis catus (domestic cat). It matches the Rfam family "tRNA". From Rfam's summary of the family: Transfer RNA (tRNA) molecules are approximately 80 nucleotides in length. Their secondary structure includes four short double-helical elements and three loops (D, anti-codon, and T loops). Lineage: Eukaryota; Metazoa; Chordata; Mammalia; Carnivora; Felidae. The record is from Rfam by way of RNAcentral. RNAcentral also lists the same sequence under 2 other names.